UACAGAGGGGGCAAGCGUUGUUCGGAAUUACUGGGCGUAAAGGGCGCGUAGGCGGCCUUCUAAGUCGAACGUGAAAUCCCCGGGCUCAACCCGGGAACUGCGUCCGAUACUGGAAGGCUUGAAUCCGGGAGAGGGAUGCGGAAUUCCAGGUGUAGCGGUGAAAUGCGUAGAUAUCAGGAGGAACACCGGUGGCGAAGGCGGUUCUCUGGGCAUGAUCUGACGCUGAGGAGCGAAAGUGUGGGGAGCGAACAGG
This 253-nucleotide ribosomal RNA is filed under the name uncultured bacterium. Its description in RNAcentral is "partial 16S ribosomal RNA". It matches the Rfam family "Bacterial small subunit ribosomal RNA", at positions 524 to 776 of the family's 1533-position model. The record is from RNAcentral.